GACCCGAAAAAUGGUGAACUAUGCCUGAUCAGAUUGAAGUCAGGGGAAACUCUGAUGAAGGACUGAAGCAAAUCUGAUGUGUGUAUCGAUUUUCAGAGUUAGGAAUAAGGACGAAAGAAUAAUCUAGUAGUUGG
Molecule: ribosomal RNA, 134 nt
Filed under: Anopheles minimus
Lineage: Eukaryota; Metazoa; Arthropoda; Insecta; Diptera; Culicidae
Description: eukaryotic large subunit ribosomal RNA
Rfam family: Eukaryotic large subunit ribosomal RNA
Source: RNAcentral